AACGAACGCUGGCGGCAGGCCUCAAACAUGCAAGUCUAGGGGGUGUAGCAAUACAUCACCGGCGGACGGGUGCGUAACGCGUGGGAAUAUACCUAUCGAUUCGGAACAACUGAGGGAAACUUCAGCUAAUACCGAAUACGUCCUAACGGAGAAAGAUUUAUCGUCGAUAGAUUAGCCCGCGUUCGAUUAGCUAGUUGGUGGGGUAACGGCCCACCAAGGCGACGAUCGAUAGCUGUUCUGAGAGGAAGAUCAGCCACACUGGGACUGAGACACGGCCCAGACUCCUACGGGAGGCAGCAGUUGGGAAUCUUGGACAAUGGGGGAAACCCUGAUCCAGCCAUGCCGCGUGAGUGAUGAAGGCCUUCGGGUUGUAAAACUCUUUCGCGCACGACGAUAAUGACGGUAGUGCGAGAAGAAGCUCCGGCUAACUUCGUGCCAGCAGCCGCGGUAAU
Molecule: ribosomal RNA, 452 nt
Filed under: uncultured bacterium
Lineage: Bacteria
Description: bacterial SSU rRNA
Rfam family: Bacterial small subunit ribosomal RNA
Source: RNAcentral